This 311-nucleotide long non-coding RNA is filed under the name Phaseolus vulgaris (common bean). RNAcentral's name for it is "long non-coding RNA (PVUL_LNC004406)". The record is from RNAcentral. Lineage: Eukaryota; Viridiplantae; Streptophyta; Magnoliopsida; Fabales; Fabaceae.
UCCCAUGCUUCCUUUGAAGUGGACGCACCAGCAAUCUUCUCAAAAAUUGCCUCAUCAACAGCUCUAUACAACAUGUACAAAGCUGCCUUAUCUUUCGAUCGCAUCUCUUUCAAUGCCUUGGUUUGAGCUGCCGUAUAACCCGUGGUAUUGGUUGGUUCUUCAAAACCUUCUUCGACCACCUCCCAUGAAUCCUGAGAACCGAGAAGAGCUUUCAUUUGAAUGCUCCAGUUGUCAUAUCUGGUUGCCUUCGUUAACCGUGGUAGCGGUAUUUGACCUGUCACAUUCGCCAUUGGCUCUUGAUACCAAAUUGU